Molecule: non-coding RNA, 74 nt
Organism: Pseudophryne corroboree (corroboree frog)
Lineage: Eukaryota; Metazoa; Chordata; Amphibia; Anura; Myobatrachidae
Source: the annotation of a RefSeq genome assembly
GGUUUCAUAGUGUAGUGGUUAUCACAUCUGCUUUACAUGCAGAAUGUCCUGGGUUCAAUCCCCAAGUGGAACCA